RNAcentral lists this ribosomal RNA (292 nucleotides) under uncultured bacterium. RNAcentral describes it as "partial 16S ribosomal RNA". It matches the Rfam family "Bacterial small subunit ribosomal RNA", at positions 505 to 796 of the family's 1533-position model. The record is from RNAcentral.
GUGCCAGCCGCCGCGGUAAUACGGAGGAUCCGAGCGUUAUCCGGAUUUAUUGGGUUUAAAGGGUGCGCAGGCGGGUAUAUAAGUCAGAGGUGAAAUUCUACGGCUCAACUGUAGAACUGCCUUUGAUACUGUAUAUCUAGAGUAUAUUUGGAGUGGGCGGAAUGUAGCAUGUAGCGGUGAAAUGCUUAGAUAUGCUACAGAACACCGAUCGUGAAGACAGCUCACUAAACUAUAACUGACGCUCAGGCACGAAAGCGUGGGGAGCAAACAGGAUUAGAUACCCGCGUAGUCC